Molecule: ribosomal RNA, 253 nt
Filed under: uncultured bacterium
Lineage: Bacteria
Description: partial 16S ribosomal RNA
Rfam family: Bacterial small subunit ribosomal RNA
Source: RNAcentral
GACAGAGGGGGCAAGCGUUGUCCGGAUUUAUUGGGCGUAAAGAGCUCGUAGGCGGUCUGUCGCGUCGGAUGUGAAACCCCUGGGCUUAACCCUGGGCCUGCAUUCGAUACGGGCAGACUAGAGUUCGGUAGGGGAGACUGGAAUUCCUGGUGUAGCGGUGAAAUGCGCAGAUAUCAGGAGGAACACCGGUGGCGAAGGCGGGUCUCUAGGCCGACACUGACGCUGAGGAGCGAAAGCGUGGGGAGCGAACAGG